Molecule: long non-coding RNA, 797 nt
Organism: Dromaius novaehollandiae (emu)
Lineage: Eukaryota; Metazoa; Chordata; Aves; Casuariiformes; Dromaiidae
Exons: 3
Source: RefSeq, a predicted model, not a curated record
GUAAUGUUCCCAAAUCAGGUAAUGUAACAACUCUUCUGGUUUUCAAGGCAAAAUGAAUCAUACAGAGAUAUCAUCGUGACUGGGCCUCGAAGGGGUGACAUUCUUUCUCACUUCUAAAGAAAAUUAAAUUACUAUUUUUAAUCUUACUCCCAAGAUUAAUCUGGGAGUGUGAUCUGUUUGUGUCAGAACAACGGCACUGGCAUGAGCAGAACUACUGACUAUUAAAACUUAAUUCCCUUCUGUCUGUGGUACUAAUAGAAAUGCUUAGGAUAUGCCAUCUAUUUUCAUUAAAAAUAUUCAUCUGAUAUCUGCUUACAUUUCUCUCCCAGUGUAGCCUUGAAUUGACAAUUCACAGCUGUUUCCUGGCAAUGCUGUAUUAUUAUUAACGUUCUGCCUUUUCUCUUUGGCUACUGCAGAAAUAACUGAAUUAGUCAAACCCCUCUGGAUGACAGAUGACAGCAACAUAAACAAGAGGAAAUGCCUGAAAUGAAGGCCCUGGAACAGGGGAAUCAACAGACCGCCCAGAGUCACACCUGAGGAUGCAUGGGACAGCCAACGGUCUGAAAACUCAGGUAUGAAAGAUGAGAGGCUAGUAGGUGACAGCCUACGAAUAUGGACCAGUCGUUUGGAUUCUGUAUGAAAACUGGAUAGAGGUAAAAAGAACUCCCAGCAGCAGAAGAUCCCUGGUUUGUUCCUUGUCAGGCAGAAGGAUGUUAAGGAUGGCAGAAACAAGCAGAUCAUGGCCAGGGAGGUGAACAAGUUGCAUGAAGACCUGGAGCAGGUGGAGAAAAGCCAGG